This is a long non-coding RNA of Raphanus sativus (radish), 1991 nucleotides long. RefSeq lists it as uncharacterized. NCBI's taxonomy places the organism in Eukaryota, Viridiplantae, Streptophyta, Magnoliopsida, Brassicales, Brassicaceae. The transcript is spliced from 3 exons. The record is from RefSeq and is a predicted model, not a curated record.
AUUGUCAUCUUCUUUAUUUCCUGUGUCUCAGAGAGACGAGUCUCCGUCGGUAAUCAUCGUCGUCGCGUUUAUGUCGGUUCGUGUGCUUCAGAAUCUAUUCAUCUCCUCACAGGCGUUACAACUACAAGCUCCAUUGAUUCAAUGACAUUAACAAGUUCUUAACUCUUCAGUGAUGAAUCACUCAUUCGAUGAUUCUAAACUCUACCUAUAAAAAGCUAAGACUUCAUCCCUUAAGAAUCAUCGCCACAAUUCCAAUAGCAAACAAAUUUAUUUCUCACUUUAAUUAAUGGCUUACGCCUUGGUUCUUCUUGGACGGCUGAUCAGAUUCUGGGAGGCCAUGUGACGAUUUGAUCCGUCUCGACAUGAUCUUCGUCGAUUCUCAGCCACCAUUGAAAAGGCGGUGCAGUUCAUAGCAAGCACUCAAGAGGCAGAUGGUUCAUGGUACGGAAGUUGUGGAGUUUGCUACACAUAUGCAUCAUGAAACAAAGCAACCAAAAAGUCAUCAUUUUUUUCCGGACCUCCCAGAAAAAAAAAUUCUCUAACCCAAAUACCAAAAAAAAAUCAUUUUUAGACUAUUGAAACAAAGUUAUUUCACGAAAUUAGAAUUCUUUCUCAAAACCUUUCCAAAUAUGUUUCUCCUCCACUCUUUUCCUUAAUAUGCACAUCAAAUUGAUCAUCGCUCCAAGAUAUAUAUAAACUACAAAAUCCUGUUAACACACUAACAUCUAUACGCGGCUACAUGUUGAAAAAUAGCAAUUUUAUUUACACAUUCAUUACUUCCAAAUAUUGAUCCAUCUAAUAAACAAUAAUAUCAUGCACAAAAUACUUACUUAACAUCUUUGGCAUAUAGUAGUGAGAAGCUAAUGACUCUUGACGGUUUUUAUAGAAGCUGCUUGAAUCUACAUUUCAAUGGUGAUGAACUUGAGAUUUUCCUUGUAGUUUAGCAAAAAAAAAAAAACAUCUUUGGCAUAUCCCGCACUACAUAGCACAAUUGACCAAUGAUAUAUAGCUACUAUACAGUGUGGUCACUGAAGAAGCCUUCGAGAGAGAAGGAGACCUGAAACAGAUAAAAUGUUUAUUUAAGCUAAUGCAAUCAGAGAGAAUAAAACAAAGAUGCAUUCUUUUUUUUUUAAACACACAAAGAAGCGUUCACUACUGUCAUUUUAUAAAUAAUUAUGACAUAUAAAUGACUUUGAAAGGUAGUUUUCAAAACUUUAUGCCAAUCUCAGAUUAGUUUAUAAAUGAUCUAUUAACUUAACAACAAAAAUACAUUGUUUGUCUUCUACCAAAACUAUUUCUAUACGUUCGCUUUGUAAAACACAUAACAUUUCGGAAUAUGCACACUACCACCAAACAUUAUUAAACAUUAUAAGUGAACUAGAAAACCUUACAUUUAUUCACCAUAAGAUAAUUUCUGUGAUUUUCAUGAUACAAUCAUAUUUCAUUUUUAAAAAUGCAACCACCUCGACACAAAUAUCAACUAUAAUAGUAAAUUUUCAAAUUAAUCAAAAUAGCUACUUACAAAUGUCCAUAAAUUACACAGAUAGCGGUUUGAAAUCAACAAUAGAACUUAUCUAUGUCUUUUCUUUGCUCAAAAAGAAAAAAAUCUAUGCUCUUUUACUUGGAGUCAAUAUUUUCCAUUUCCACAAUGUUGUUCAAUGGCUUCAUACAAAUAUAAGCUGUCUUAAAUGUAGGGAAAGUCUUCUAUGAUUCAGCAUUAUUACAAUUUAUAAAGAAGUUACUUAUGUUCCAAUUUUCAUCAGUUCCACUUACCCACCGUUUUUGAUCUUUGUUUUAAUUUUCAAACAAAAUAAAUAAAUGUUUUUCCUCAUUUCAUAAUAUGUUCCUUUGCCAAAAUGAGUUUCUUACCAAAAUCAAAUAAGAAGAAUAUAUAUACAAAACUUUAUAACAUACGUCCAAAUAAAACAUCAACUUUAAUUUAUGUUUAAAUUCCAACUACAUUAACAUUUUUACAACUAUCAGUUUUUUAU